AGUGAACGCUGGCGGUACGCCUAACACAUGCAAGUCGAAUGGCAGUACAGUAAGAGCUUGCUCUUACGGGAGGCGAGUGGCGGACGGGCGCGGAAUACAUCGGAAUCUACUUUUUCGUGGGGGAUAACGUAGGGAAACUUACGUUAAUACCGCAUACGACCUACGGGUGAAAGCAGGGGAUCUUCGGACCUUGCGCGAUUGAAUGAGCCGAUGUCGGAUUAGCUAGUUGGCGGGGUAAAGGCACACCAAGGCGACGAUCCGUAGCUGGUCUGAGAGGAUGAUCAGCCACACUGGAACUGGGACACGGUCCAGACUCCUACGGGAGGCAGCAGUGGGGAAUAUUGAACAAUGGGCGCAAGCCUGAACCGGCCAUACCGCAUGGGUGAAGAAGGCCUUCGGGUUGUAAAGCCCUUUUGUUGGGAAAGAAAAGCAGCAGGUUAAUACCCCGCUGUUCUGACGGUACCCAAAGAAUAAGCGCCGGCUAACUUCGUG
RNAcentral lists this ribosomal RNA (492 nucleotides) under uncultured bacterium. RNAcentral's name for it is "partial 16S ribosomal RNA". It matches the Rfam family "Bacterial small subunit ribosomal RNA", at positions 29 to 507 of the family's 1533-position model. The record is from RNAcentral.